GCUUAUUCUCCGGCCGAAGAGCAGUGAUCCGAAGCAGUUCCGGUACUGUGGAUGUACCGGUAACUAGAGGCUGCCCGCAGGGAUCAAUCAGCGGCCAAUUUAUCUGGGACAUACUUAUGGAUGUACUGCUUCAGCGUCUCCAGCCGUAUUGCCAGCUGAGUGCAUACGCGGAUGACUUGCUGCUUCUCGUCGAGGGAAAUUCCCGAGCUGUGCUAAAGGAAAAAGGAGCGCAACUAAUGUCCAUCGUAGAAACGUGGGGAGCGGAAGUUGGCGUUGCCGUCUCGACCAGCAAGACAGUAAUCAUGCUGCUGAAAGGUGCCUUGAGACGUGCGCCUACGGUGAGGUUUGCUGGAGCGAACCUUUCGUAUGUGCGUAGCUGUCGGUAUCUUGGCAUCACGGUCAGUGAAGGAAUGAAAAAUUUCUCACGCACAUAGCUUCGCUUCGCCAGCGGAUGACCGGAGUCGUUGGAGCAUUGGCGCGUGUGCUUCGAGCCGACUGGGGCUUCAGUCCUCGAGCCAGGCGGACCAUAUAUGACGGACUCAUGGCACCUUGUGUGCUGUUUGGUGCCCCGGUAUGGUAUGACACCGCGGAACAAGUAGCUGCCCAGAGGCGACUAGCCACCUGCCAGAGGCUAAUCCUGCUUGGAUGCCUUUCGGUAUGCCGAACAGUGUCCACAGUGGCACUGCAGGUACUUGGUGGAGCUCCCCCGCUUGAUCUGGCUGCUAAGUUAUUAGCGGUCAAAUACAAGCUAAAACGUGGAUUCCCGCUGGAGGAGAACGACUGGCUUUACGGCGAGGACAUUGCGUGUCUAAGCUGGGAGCAGAGGAAGACUCGCCUAGAGGAGUGUUUAAUCCAGAGUUGGCAGAACAGAUGGGACGACGACAGCGAACCAGGACGGGUGACGCAUAGGUUUAUCCCAUACGUCACUCUUGCCUAUCGGGAUUCAAGUUUUGGAUUCUCGAUGAGGACGUCUUUCCUGCUUACAGGGCACGGGUCGUUCAAUGCAUUUUUGCACGGGAGAGCCCUCAGCGAUACCACUGCUUGCUCAUGUGGAGAUCCAUAUGAGGACUGGAUGCACAUUUUGUGCGCUUGCCCCCUAUAUGCAGAUCUGCGGGACCUAGAUGGACUUGAAGUGCAGCGCCUUGGCGAAAACUGGAUCUUCGAGAGAAUCCUGGAUGAUCAAGAGAAGACUCAACGGCUGGCAAUGUUCGCGGAGGAAGUGUUCCUGAGGAGGAGGGGCGUUUAGCUCAACAUCUUUGCCGUGUGGUUAGCGGGCGAGAAUACUACCACAGUCCGCUGUUGCUUGUCGUAAGAGACGACUAAUACAGCGAUAGGUUCCUCUAACCAUGCUUGUCGGAGCAAAAGGGGGAGGCCCACCAAGCCUCUUUUCGGUACCACGGGUUGAGCAGCUAUCCAAGACUGCUCAUUGAGGUAGGCCCCCUGGUGGGAGUAUCGUGGUGGCUGUGGUUGGUACCCAUAUCGCGGGUAGAGCCUUCAUGCUCGACGUUUGAGUUACGGUGCUGGUUGCGCAAAACUCGGGUGCUGAGACCCAGAGAUCAGUAGAGAUUUUAGGUAGAUCUCGCUCCUCAGCAAGGGGGAGUGCUUGCCCGGCAAGCAAGUACUCGAAUUGCUACCGGGGUGGUCGCUAUGUACAUAGCUAUAGCUUCUAGCCCGGGACGCUUGUCUGACGUAUUCAGACACAUGCACCAUAUGCUCACUUGUGGGUGUAUAGGGUGCCGUGGUUGUAAUCCCUUCAGUGUGGAACACGCCACGUAAAACAAGUUCGGAGGGAUCCGAAAAGCAUACAUUGUCCCUAUCUACUAUCUAGCGAAACCACAGCCAAGGGAACGGGCUUGGAAUAAUUAGCGGGGAAAGAAGACCCUUUUGAGCUUGACUCUAAUCUGGCAGUGUAAGGAGACAUAAGAGGUGAAGAAUAAGUGGGAGAUAUUAGACCUCGGUUUGCUAUCGUCAAUGAAAUACCACUACUCUUAUUGUUUCCUUACUUACUUGAUUAAAUGGAACGUGUAUCAUUUCCUAGCUAUUAUACGGAUAUAUUUAUUAUAUCUUAUGGUAUUGGGUUUUGAUGCAAGCUUCUUGAUCAAAGUAUCACGAGUUUGUUAUAUAAUCGCAAACAAAUUCUUUAAUAAAACGAUGCAUUUAUGUAUUUUUGAUUUGAAAAUUUGGUAUAACUCCAAUUACUCAGGUAUGAUCCAAUUCAAGGACAUUGCCAGGUAGGGAGUUUGACUGGGGCGGUAAGUCUCUCAAAUAAUAACGGAGGUGUCCCAAGGCCAGCUCAGUGCGGACAGAAACCACACAUAGAGCAAACGGGCAAAUGCUGACUUGAUCUCGGUGUUCAGUACACACAGGGACAGCAAAAGCUCGGCCUAUCGAUCCUUUUGGUUUAAAGAGUUUUUAACAAGAGGUGUCAGAAAAGUUACCAUAGGGAUAACUGGCUUGUGGCGGCCAAGCGUUCAUAGCGACGUCGCUUUUUGAUCCUUCGAUGUCGGCUCUUCCUAUCAUUGUGAAGCAAAAUUCACCAAGCGUUGGAAUGUUCACCCAUGCAAGGGAACGUGAGCUGGGUUUAGACCGUCGUGAGACAGGUUAGUUUUACCCUACUAAUGACAAAACGUUGUUGCGACAGCAUUCCUGCGUAGUACGAGAGGAACCGCAGGUACGAACCAAUGGCACAAUACUUGUUCGAGCGAACAGUGGUAUGACGCUACGUCCGUUGGAUUAUGCCUGAACGCCUCUAAGGUCGUCUCCGUGCUGGACUGCAAUGAUAAAUAAGGGGCAAUUUGCAUUGUAUGCCUUCUAAACCAUUUAAAGUUUAUAAUUUACUUUAUAAACGACAAUGGAUGUGAUGCCAAUGUAAUUUGUAACAUAGUAAAUUGGGAGGAUCUUCGAUCACCUGAUGCCGCGCUAGUUACAUAUAAAAGCAUUAUUU
RNAcentral lists this ribosomal RNA (2944 nucleotides) under Drosophila melanogaster (fruit fly). Its description in RNAcentral is "eukaryotic LSU rRNA". The stretch from base 1774 to 2944 matches the Rfam family "Eukaryotic large subunit ribosomal RNA", at positions 1891 to 3320 of the family's 3401-position model. The record is from RNAcentral. Lineage: Eukaryota; Metazoa; Arthropoda; Insecta; Diptera; Drosophilidae.